RNAcentral lists this long non-coding RNA (765 nucleotides) under Homo sapiens (human). RNAcentral describes it as "HSALNT0147319". The record is from RNAcentral. Lineage: Eukaryota; Metazoa; Chordata; Mammalia; Primates; Hominidae.
AUUUGAGCAGGAGGACUGUGUGUCCCAGACUAUAAAGAAAAGCAAGCUUGUUUUCUACCUGCUUCCUCUUUUUGCUUUCUCCUGCUCCCACCAGCCCUACUCUUUUUUCCGAAUUAAGACUCCACAGAACCUGCCUUUUAUUUCCCCUUUGCAAAGCUACUGUUACAUCAUUAUAAAAGGGACAUUCCCUCUUUUUCCAGAAAUAUUCCUAAGAAAAGAAAAACAGCCUGUUAUAUAAGAGUGUCUGAAAAAACUAGAACUUUCACUCAAGGUAUUCAUACAAACCAACAUUUCCUGACUGAAUGCAAAUAGGACACUUCUUUGAAAUGAGGAGCGACAAAUUUUUAACCUUUCUAGAAUUCAUGACAGAAUACUGUUUUUUUUUUUUUUUUAACGCUGUCUCCAUUGAAAGUCAGUUACUGAAUGGUAGGACACAAUUCUUAUGAAUUUUGUAGAAAGACAAAUAAUAUUCUCAUCUACAACUGUGUGAAGAAAAAUAGAAAAAUACUUGCCAUGUGUUAAAUCCUUACACUAUGGAGAAUACUAUGCAAACUGCUUUCAACUGCCUGCGUUCAUUUAAGAAUCACAACAACUAUGACCUCACUAAUUCCACAAGAGACCUUCUUCUGUCCAGCCUGUUGUUUUUAUUCCAAAUGAUGACAACACUGUUUCUCACCUCCAGCCCAGACCGACAUUCAUCUUGUGUACUGAUAGAGUCCAGAGAAGAAUCUCUUUUCUGUCUUUCCAUCCAAUAGUUGAAUUUUG